UACGGAGGGUGCAAGCGUUAUCCGGAUUUAUUGGGUUUAAAGGGUCCGCAGGCGGACUUGUAAGUCAGGGGUGAAAGCCGGCAGCUUAACUGUCGAACUGCCUUUGAUACUGCAAGUCUUGAGUGAGGUUGAAGUAGCUGGAAUGAGUAGUGUAGCGGUGAAAUGCAUAGAUAUUACUCGGAACACCAAUUGCGAAGGCAGGUUACUAAGUCUUAACUGACGCUGAGGGACGAAAGCGUGGGGAGCGAAC
Molecule: ribosomal RNA, 250 nt
Filed under: uncultured bacterium
Lineage: Bacteria
Description: partial 16S ribosomal RNA
Rfam family: Bacterial small subunit ribosomal RNA
Source: RNAcentral